AUGAAGGCGGCAAAGAAGCAGGUUCCCCGAGAGUCCCUGACCUUUGUGCUGCGCGGGCACCGGGCCCCGCUCCGAGAGAAACGAAGUGAAUUUCUCAGUAAUACUCAGAAAACUGCCCAUGGCCAGCAUCAUAAUUCUCAUGUAUUAGUCAGCAAUCGGGCCUCUUCGAACAAUCUGGAAGAUACUUCAUGGAAUCAAGAAGAAGAAAUGGCUAGAUUGUCUUCUCGGGAGGAUGAUCCCAGGAUUGAUGACUUAGAAGAAAGUUUACAGAAGUUGAAGGUCCAAGAGGGCAGCUUGGCCUCCAGGUGGAAUUCUGCUUCUGACACAGAAGAUGCUACCAGUUCAGAUGCCACCGACCUCUGGAGCCCUGGCCAGUCUCAGUGGCCUGAAGGUCAAAGUACCCCAUCUCCUCUAGGGGAGAAAGAAGCCCUGCCAAAGGCACCCAUAGAUUGGGAAUGGUUUCUGAGUCCACAAAGCUUGGCCAGCCCAUUGGGAAACUACUCACGUCUGAGGACUUUAGGCCUUCCAUCGAGGUCCCUGUCUCCAGGCGACUACACGGCAAGCCUUCUGGAAAGGGGGAUUUUGACUCGUAGCUGCCUACCAUCUGUGGCCUUGGUGAUGGAUGGAUCUCCUGCACAGUCUAACCCCCCUAAACUAGGAGCACCUCAUGUGAUCGGUGUGAAGUCCCUGCUGCCACCCAAGAUUCCGGUGAGGUUCUGUUCUCCCCAGAGGAGAGGUGCCUCUCCUGGAGUACCCAGAGGCAGGUCUCUUUCUCUUACACGGUCCCAUUCUUUCUCUCCUGCUUCCAAAAGGAUGCGAUGGGUCCGAUCUCGUUCUCAGUCCCCCAGGCCCAUGUGGAGACCCAACUCUACCAAUGGCAAAGCUUGUGCACAGCCCCCACCCCAGUUCAUCCCACCUGGGGGAAGGAGGAAGAAAACUUCUCUGACCAGACCAGCACGGUCUCGAAUUUAUAAACCAUGGCCCUGGGCUGCCCGCCAGGGCUGCCUGCCCCUCAAAACCAAGGAAGAAGAUGUCCUGGACCACUCCUGGAGCCCUUACUGCCUGCCUGUGCCUGGAAUCUCCUCUCCCUUGGCUCAGGAGAUGAACGAAAGGUUCUUCCAGACCCUUGAAGAAGGGAAUGUGCCUCUGUCCCUGGGAACUGUGGCCCCCAUCCAGAAAGCCCAGACAAGAUUCCGUUUGCAGUGCCUGCGGGCAGAGGAAGAAUGGGUGUUGGAGCUGAAGAGGCAGCAAGAAUUAGAACGGACCCGAGGCCCCAAGUCCAAGUGGUAUGAGAUGAAAAGCUCCCAGUUCCACUAUGAAGCCCACAAACAGAAUGAGUCGUUGAAGAACAGCCAGGACUCACGGUCCCUUCGUAACUCCAGGCGGGCACUGGCUUCGGAGGCCAAGGACUUGGACAAGCGCCGCCGGCCUACGGGGCAGAAUGAUGAGUAAUGAGACCCGAAGGUGAAGGAAGCUAAUGGGGGCCCCAGACCCCAAAGGGGCCGCCUUCAAGGGCCAGCUCGGCUCACGGAAGGUCUCACCUGGGAAGAGAGACCUGACGCGGGAGGACCGCUGGGCUCGCUCUCACCCAGCCCAGCAGGGCUGGCUUCGGCCGCCCAGACCGACGCUCAUUCAUUCUCUGGCGCGCUCGCUCGCACGCCAGCUGCCAAGGGAGCCGCCAAGCGUAGCCAAGACAGCCCCGGCUCUCAUUCAGUUCAGUAAAACAAACACUUAGCAAGGGCUGCUGCGUCCAGGGCUUUGGGGAGCUCACCGCCUCUGCAGAGGGAGAAGAUAAACAGAACUGUAACGUACACUAGGACAAGGUGAGUGCUCCAGAGAGCCACGAGUGCUGUGUGGAGUCCCAGGAAGGGGGUUCUUGCCAGCCAGGGGCCGGAGCUCCAGAUCCGGGAAGUCUCCCUGGAGAAAGCAGGUUUUAAAGAAUGAGUAAAAGGAACAGCGAGGUGACUCAGUGGACGGAGAGCCGGGUCUGGAGACAGGAGGUCCUGGGUUCAAAUCCAACCUUGGACACUUCCCAGCUGUGUGACCCUGGGCAAGUCACUUGACCCCCAUUGCCCAGCCCUCACCACUCUUCUGCCUUGGAGCCCAUACACAGUACUGAGUCUAAGGUGGAAGGUGAAGUUUAAAAACAAAAUAAAGAUUCAACAAGCAAAGAGGAGGAAGAAGGC
This 2186-nucleotide long non-coding RNA is filed under the name Monodelphis domestica (gray short-tailed opossum). RNAcentral's name for it is "lncRNA (ENSMODG00000037038.1)". The record is from RNAcentral. Lineage: Eukaryota; Metazoa; Chordata; Mammalia; Didelphimorphia; Didelphidae.